GACGAACGCUGGCGGCGUGCUUAACACAUGCAAGUCGAACGGAAAGGCCCUGCUUUUGUUGGGUGCUCGAGUGGCGAACGGGUGAGUAACACGCGAGUAACCUGCCCUUGACUUUGGGAUAACUUCAGGAAACUGGGGCUAAUACCGGAUAUGAGCUCCUGCUGCAUGGUGGGGGUUGGAAAGUUUCGGCGGUUGGGGAUGUACUCGCUGCUUAUGAGCUUGUUGGUGUGGUAGUGGCUUACCAAGGCUUAGACGGGUAGCCGGCCUGAGAGGGUGACCGGCCACAUGGGGACUGAGAGACGGCCCAGAAUCCUACGGGAGGCAGCAGUGGGGAAUAUUGCACAAUGGGCGGAAGCCUGAUGCAGCAACGCCGCGUGCGGGAUGACGGCCUUCGGGGUGUAAACCGCUUUCGCAGGUGACGAAGCGUGAGUGACGGUAAUGGGUAAAGAAGCACCGGCUAACUACGUG
This 468-nucleotide ribosomal RNA is filed under the name uncultured bacterium. RNAcentral describes it as "partial 16S ribosomal RNA". It matches the Rfam family "Bacterial small subunit ribosomal RNA", at positions 28 to 507 of the family's 1533-position model. The record is from RNAcentral.